GGUAUCUCAGUGACAGAGUGUGUGUUUAGCAUACACGAGGUCCUGGGUUCAAUCCCCAGUACCU
Transfer RNA from Camelus ferus (Wild Bactrian camel), 64 nucleotides. It matches the Rfam family "tRNA". Rfam says of the family: Transfer RNA (tRNA) molecules are approximately 80 nucleotides in length. The record is from Rfam. Lineage: Eukaryota; Metazoa; Chordata; Mammalia; Artiodactyla; Camelidae.